CCCGAACCCUCCGUCCAACGAAGUAUGUCUCAACUUUAACUAAAUUUGAAUGCAUUUAUACAGUCAUGUUUAAAUACAUUCAAAUUUUGACAAACUUGAGACAUACUUUGUUGGACGGAGAGAGUAUAUU
Non-coding RNA from Brachypodium distachyon (stiff brome), 130 nucleotides. Lineage: Eukaryota; Viridiplantae; Streptophyta; Magnoliopsida; Poales; Poaceae. The record is from Rfam.